This 243-nucleotide ribosomal RNA is filed under the name uncultured bacterium. RNAcentral's name for it is "partial 16S ribosomal RNA". It matches the Rfam family "Bacterial small subunit ribosomal RNA", at positions 57 to 305 of the family's 1533-position model. The record is from RNAcentral.
GCAAGUCGAGCGAGAAAUCACUUCGGUGAGAGUACAGCGGCGGACGGGUGAGUAACGCGUAGGAAUCUACCUGGUAGUGGGGGACAACAUGUGGAAACGCAUGCUAAUACCGCAUACGACCUAAGGGUGAAAGUGGGGGACCUUCGGGCCUCACGCUAUCGGAUGAGCCUGCGUAAGAUUAGCUAGUUGGUGGGGUAAAGGCUCACCAAGGCGACGAUAGCUAGGGGGUCUGAGAGGAUGAUC